Oxyura jamaicensis (ruddy duck) is the source of this 1886-nucleotide long non-coding RNA. RefSeq lists it as uncharacterized. The record is from RefSeq and is a predicted model, not a curated record. NCBI's taxonomy places the organism in Eukaryota, Metazoa, Chordata, Aves, Anseriformes, Anatidae. The transcript is spliced from 8 exons.
CCAGAUGACCUAUGUAGGCAGAGAGAGAAGGCUUUUAAAGAGAUGGCUGAGGAAACAACAAAUGACCUAAACUGUUUCUCCUUAACCCAGACAGCUCCCCGCUGAGUUUGAUUCUUCUGUGUUUGUCAGUAUAAACAGAUAAUGUCAUAUUUAGAUGCCUGAAAUAUAACCCCUUAGCCUGUCUUCAGCCUCCAGUUUAAGGAAAAUAUAGCAAGAAGAUCCCUGGGAACAAGAUUUCAGAAAACUGCUUUCCAAACUGUGGCAGCUGCAAAAUAGGAGGCUCAGUAAAGUAGGAGCUAAUACAGAAAGCUGGUGUGUUACUGUCUGGCAGCUGUGGUUCACAUCAGGAGCAGAUCCAUUUCUGUGGUUAGAAACAAAACUAUGGUCACUCUCAGCCCCAUUUGACCUCUCAAGUACAGGCUCUGGACUCGAAAGCAGGAAUUAACAGGCUUCAUCUUCUCCUUCACAACAAACUGUGAAGAGCUUCAGCAGGAGGUUGGCUUCAGGGAGAGGCAAUGUAUCGGAACACAUUGCAAAAGACACUUCUUGCAAGAAAACACGGGGAAGAUGUCUUUGGCUGAUGACACAGUUCAGUUGCAAGACGCAGUAGUUCACAAGGCUCGCAGAAGGAACCUGACACAGGAUGUUCCCAAGCUAUGUGAGUAAUGCUACUGAGAGUCAUCUUCCUGCCAGCCAGAUUUCUAGGUUCAUCACCCAUAGUUGAAAGUAGAUUUCCAAGAAAAGUCAGCUUCCAAAAGCUUUCUUCAAGACUCAGUGGCCAGACUUGUGGAAGAAAACUGGAAAUGACUGCAGAGGUGUACUGGGUUGCUGUUUUCUGAUGGCAGGCAGAUGAGAGGCAGGUUAAAUGCAAAGGUAUUACUGCUGAGGACACUGAGUGCCAAGACCGGACUCUUCAUCACCCCACCCCCUGUCCUGUGGUCAGUACUUCAGCAUGGGAGAAAAGGACAGCAAAGCAGAGAAGGCAUCUGAACGUGAAGGAUAGAUGGAUUUGGAUAAACCAGGACAAAUCAUGAUGAAAACUGUUCUACUACAUCACAGAUUGUAGGGGCCUUCUGUAAAGAUCAGGUGUCACAUGGCUUUAUUUUGCACCUGUUGCCUUUAUGUAAGUCUUGGUGGCCUGAUGCCGGUGCUCUCUGGGCCUUGUUUCUGCUAGAAUUCCUGUUCCAGUUGGCUGCAGUUCUGGCCACGCAGGGCCACAGGCAAGGGAGGCACUACAAAUAUAAAAUAAGGCACUGUUCUGUGAAGUGCCACUGAAAUGACUGCUUGAUGAGUGAGGUACUCCUUCCCAUGAAUAAGGGGACAAAAGUUUGGAGCUAAUGAGAAGUGCAGCAUUUGAGUGUUUGUUUUGAAGACAGUAGCUCAUUCUUCAGGCUGUGGUACAGAGGCAAGGGAAACUGUGUUUGGGGUCAGGAGUUUCCCAAAGGGAGCUGCUUCUGUUUGCACUGAGUAUGUAACUCCCCUUAGAGGUGAUGCUACAUGAGUCUGCUCUGAAGUCUCCUGAAACCAGCGGGAGCCCAUCUGCACACAUGGAAUACUUCUUAAUAGGACAAGCACAACUUCUGUGAAUGAGUUGUCAAGAAAGCAUGUGGUAUAGCUAAGAAAUGCAGAGGAUUCCUUUUAGUUGUUUGGUGGUGGUUUGGGGUUUCAUUCCUAUGAGAAAAAAUCCAGUGAAAGGCUUGUCUUUCCCUUGAUGCUUCAUCAGAUUUUUAUUUCCUUUUUAGAGUAGAUGGCAAACAUCCUAGGCUGUUCUUCUGUGGAAAUGGUGCAUUUCCUAUGAAAAGUUCAUCUGCAGUGAGAAAGAAAGCAGCUUUAAAAGCUUCUGUUCAUCCAAAUGAAGCAGUCUUGAACUAAUGUGCUGCUGAAAA